This 252-nucleotide ribosomal RNA is filed under the name uncultured bacterium. Its description in RNAcentral is "partial 16S ribosomal RNA". It matches the Rfam family "Bacterial small subunit ribosomal RNA", at positions 524 to 776 of the family's 1533-position model. The record is from RNAcentral.
UACGUAGGAGACGAGCGUUGUCCGGAGUUACUGGGCGUAAAGGGUGCGCAGGCGGCCCUGCGCGUCGCGAGUGAAAUCUCCCGGCUCAACUGGGAGGGUGGUCGCGAGACGGCAGGGCUUGAGGCUCGGUGAGGGGCGUGGAAUCCGGGUGGAGCGGUGAAAUGCGUAGAGAUCCGGAGGAACACCAACGGCGUAGGCAGCGCCCUAGACGAGACCUGACGCUCAGGCACGAAAGCGCGGGGAGCGAACAGG